GAUACUGCGCCGGUCUGAACGGGUUAUAUUGAUGUUAUAAAUCAUAAGAUUUUUAUCUUCUGUAUCU
Molecule: transfer RNA, 67 nt
Filed under: Sepiella japonica (Japanese spineless cuttlefish)
Lineage: Eukaryota; Metazoa; Mollusca; Cephalopoda; Sepiida; Sepiidae
Description: tRNA-Ile
Source: RNAcentral